ACGGCGAGUGAAGCGGCAACAGCUCAAAUUUGAAAUCUGGCGUCUACGGCGUCCGAGUUGUAAUUUGUAGAGGAUGCUUCUGGGCAGCCACCGGUCUAAGUUCCUUGGAACAGGACGUCAUAGAGGGUGAGAAUCCCGUAUGCGACCGGACAGGCACCCUCCACGUAGCUCCUUCGACGAGUCGAGUUGUUUGGGAAUGCAGCUCUAAAUGGGAGGUAAAUUUCUUCUAAAGCUAAAUACCGGCCAGAGACCGAUAGCGCACAAGUAGAGUGAUCGAAAGAUGAAAAGUACUUUGGAAAGAGAGUUAAAAAGCACGUGAAAUUGUUGAAAGGGAAGGGUUUGCAACCAGACUUGCUCGCGGUGUUCCGCCGGUCUUCUGACCGGUCUAUUCGCCGCGUUGCAGGCCAGCAUCGUCUGGGGCCGCCGGAUAAGACUUUGGGAAUGUAGCUCCCUCGGGAGUGUUAUAGCCCUUUGUGAUGCGGUGAGUCCCGGGCGAGGUCCGCGCUUCGGCUAGGAUGCUGGCGUAAUGGUUGUAAACCGCCCGUCUUGAAACACGGACCAAGGAGUCUAGCAUCUAUGCGAGUGUUCGGGUGUCAAACCCCUACGCGUAAUGAAAGUGAACGGAGGUGGGAACUUUUUGUGCACCAUCGACCGAUCCUGAUGUCUUCGGAUGGAUUUGAGUAAGAGCAUAGCUGUUGGGACCCGAAAGAUGGUGAACUAUGCCUGAAUAGGGUGAAGCCAGAGGAAACUCUGGUGGAGGCUCGCAGCGGUUCUGACGUGCAAAU
Molecule: non-coding RNA, 785 nt
Filed under: Cladosporiaceae sp. MSD-2017
Lineage: Eukaryota; Fungi; Ascomycota; Dothideomycetes; Cladosporiales; Cladosporiaceae
Also listed under: 1 other name
Description: eukaryotic LSU rRNA
Rfam family: Eukaryotic large subunit ribosomal RNA
Source: RNAcentral